RNAcentral lists this transfer RNA (68 nucleotides) under Lamproptera meges. RNAcentral describes it as "tRNA-Glu". Lineage: Eukaryota; Metazoa; Arthropoda; Insecta; Lepidoptera; Papilionidae. The record is from RNAcentral.
AUUUAUAUAGUUUAUAACUAAAACAUUACAUUUUCAAUGUAAAAAAAAAAAUUUUUUUUUUAUAAAUA